UACGAAGGGGGCUAGCGUUGCUCGGAAUUACUGGGCGUAAAGGGCGCGUAGGCGGACAGUUUAGUCGGGGGUGAAAGCCCGGGGCUCAACCUCGGAAUUGCCUUCGAUACUGGCUGUCUUGAGUACGGGAGAGGUGUGUGGAACUCCGAGUGUAGAGGUGAAAUUUGUAGAUAUUCGGAAGAACACCAGUGGCGAAGGCGACACACUGGCCCGUUACUGACGCUGAGGCGCGAAAGCGUGGGGAGCAAACAGG
Molecule: ribosomal RNA, 253 nt
Filed under: uncultured bacterium
Lineage: Bacteria
Description: partial 16S ribosomal RNA
Rfam family: Bacterial small subunit ribosomal RNA
Source: RNAcentral